This 6449-nucleotide unclassified non-coding RNA is filed under the name Ooceraea biroi (clonal raider ant). RNAcentral's name for it is "a disintegrin and metalloproteinase with thrombospondin motifs 8, transcript variant X9". Lineage: Eukaryota; Metazoa; Arthropoda; Insecta; Hymenoptera; Formicidae. The record is from RNAcentral.
GAUGAUUCUUUUCGUCGACGCUCCGAUCUGGUAAACGUGGCGGUGAAGAAGAUCCGGUUCGCUGCGUCGAUUGCGUUCAGAUUCGUUGAUGCGUGCGACAUUAGUGAUACUGCGUCCGAUUGUAGCUGCGGGAGACAUCACUUAAAAGAGAAGCAAACGUAAGAUCGAGUCACAUUUAGUCAAUUUUCUCGCCACCCUACCAAAUUGUUUCACGUGAAAAUCGAGGGGUUCGAUCAUACGUGAUCGAUCUCGCAACGGAGACGUUGAUCACGCGUCGUCGUUGCUUUCUCGAAUCGGUCGGAAUGAUUUGCAACGGGCAGUCAUCGAGAGAAAGAACGCGGCAAUAAAUAUAAGCUAUCCUCGUGAAGCAAGAAGAACGAUUAAAUCGGGACAUUUGACACGCCAACGACGAGCUAUGAUAUCCGCCCUUGAACAUUCAAACACCAUAGGCGCGAUACGUUUCGACUGCUUCAGCCGGCCAGUCUCGAAGUAACAACCUCGAUACGCACGCACGUAUGCACGUACGCACGUACGCACGUAGCACGCACACCGGCAGCGAAACAGGCACGCACGCACGCACGCACGGUAUGGUCGAGAUCUUUCGAAGAAGAUAAGACACAGAGGCGAGAUUCGCGCGUUCUUUAAUGAACGUUGCGCCGAUCCUGGUUGCAUUCUGUCAGUGAGUCUUCGUUCACGAGGAAAACGAGGUUUCAGAGGAGGAAGAGAAGACCUUGAGAGAGAUCCCUGCCUGUUGCGAAGCUUUUUGUGCAUGUACGCGUACGCGUACGUACAGCGACGGAGCUCUCGGCUCGAAUGUUUUGAAAGAUAUUCAUUCGCUUCACGAUAACGCUCCACGUGUUUUUUUUAUUCGAUGCUUCGUUCAAAAGUGAUCGAUACGCGCGCACGCGCCGACUGAUGCAUCGGGUCGAUCUAUAUCGAUAUGAUACGAUCUACAUACGCGUGAUUCCUCUCUCUCUCUCUCUCUCUCUCUCUCUCUCUCUCUCUCUCUCUCUCUCUCUCUCUUUCUCUAUAGUUCCCAAUAUCGGAAAAACAAGUACUUGCGAAAACGAAUAGAUGCGCGAGUAUCAGUGGGAAUCUGAGAAAUGUCGCGAAUUUCGAAUCGCGUCGCCACGAUCGGCGCGGCCCUCGCCAUUGCUUUGCUCGUGAUAUUGCUGGUGAUCCUGUGGUCGGAUGUGCGUAAUGUAAACGGAAUCGAAGAUUUUCGUCAAAUACCGAACGACUCGUCGACCAAUCGCAUUGUCAAUGAAACGUGGAGAAAACAGGCCGAUGACCUCCGCCGCGCUACUGCGACGCAUCUGCUUUCGACCUAUCAAUCGAAUCAACGCAACUUUACGAACGACGUGCUUUUUGAGGAACCAAAAAAUACGAAGAAAUACAAUAAUAUAUCGUCAAUCGAUGUAUUACCAUCCGCUAAGGGCAACCUCGAGUACAUCAAGCCUUUAAAAAUUAGUCAAAAUCAAUAUGAAGAUCCACCCGAAAGCUUUUCUACGGCGGAGAGACAUCACAGUGGUCAUUUUCGACACGCGUCAGCUGAAGUUUGGGACCCUCAUCCGCAGUAUGAAUUUACCGCUUUCGGGAAACGAUUCCGCCUGCGAUUGGCACACGACGCCAGUUUUGUAUCUCCCGGCAUAAAGGUAACACACACGAGUGAGAACAUAACCAGCAGAGAACACACUGGUCAUCAGCUGGGUUGUUUCUACAGCGGGUCAGUUGAUGGUGAUCCGAGUUCAGCGGUCAGUGUCAGUCUUUGUCAUGGAAUGACUGGCCAUAUGAAGACAUCAAUAGGUAACUACUUCAUUAAACCUACCGAACAUUGGCGCGAAGGUGAUGAAGAUUCUCUCGGAUCUUCUCUAGAGCAUGCAAUCUACCAUGUACCUACGACGACGUCCAAUUUCAAUGAUGAUACAAAUGUUAAUAUAUUGGAAGAUGAAGUUAAGAAUCGCAAUUGUGGAGUCACAGACUAUGAUUUGGACGACACUACCUUGUUAGUGGAUGAUAAUUUUUCUCACAAAAUCGAUGUUAGAAAGCAUUUGCGAGAACGUAGAUCAUUGACGAGGAAGACUGCAUCGUUGGAGCGGUUUCUUAGAGAGAAGGAAGAAAAACAUAAGCGAUUCACGAAGCAAAGCGAGCAUAGUCAAUAUUUCUUUCAAAAAGAUGACUACGAUGACAGGUAUCACAGCAUGGAACGUGAACGCAGCUAUCAAGAAUAUUCCCAAGACUCGGAAAUGGAUUCGGAUCCUUUUCUUACAUGGAGACCACGGCGGGCUUUACCGCGUGAAUAUUUCAUAGAAAUUAUGGUGGUGGCCGAUGCAAAAAUGGUGAAAUACCAUGGUAGCGGUUUAGUUAGCUACAUUCUAGUCCUCAUGAGCACGGUCUCACGAAUCUACAAGGACCAUUCUAUCGGCAAUCCAGUGAGUAUAGCUGUGAUGAAAAUCGUCCAAACCGACGAAAUAUUCGGUACUAAACAAAGCGGAAGCGAUGGUAUCGCUGCGGCUCUAAUGUUAAAGCAAUUUUGUCAAUGGCAAAAAAACAACAAUCCUGACGAACCAUCUCCAGAACAUCACGACGCUGCACUUCUUUUAACUAGAGAAAACUUGUGCCAUAAUCCGGAUCAAAAGCGUUGUGACACUUUGGGCUUGGCGGAAUUGGGUAGAAUGUGCUCACCAGGAGCUUCAUGCGCUAUAGUACAGGAUAAUGGAUUAGCAGCGGCGUUUACUAUCGCCCACGAGAUUGGUCAUGUACUCAAUAUGCCGCACGACGAUGAUCCGAAAUGCAGGAGUUUCAGGAAUCGUACGGGUGUACACAAUGUGAUGUCUCGUAUGCUAGAUGAUAAUACUUUCCCCUGGGAAUGGUCCAGGUGUUCUCGACAUUAUGUUACCGAAUUUUUCGAAUCGGGAUAUGCCAAUUGUUUGCUGGAUGAACCUAGUAAAACAAUGGAGAGACAAGCAGGUCGGUUACCCGGUGAGGAUUAUUCAAAGGAUAAACAAUGCGAACUUGUAUUUGGACAAGGAUCUAGAAUCUGUUCUCUUAAGGAGAAGGAUGUGUGUAAGACAUUGUGGUGCACCGUGCCACAAUGGAACCAUCACCAACGAUGUCAUACUCAACACACCCCGUGGGCAGACGGUACGCCAUGCGCUCCCCAGAAAUGGUGUCACCGUGGCGAAUGCGUUUCACGUAGAAACCUCGAACCAGUGCACGGUCAAUGGGGCGAAUGGGGAAGAUACGGCGAGUGUUCGCGAACCUGCGGCGGCGGUGUCAAAAAGAAAUAUCGUGAGUGCGAUAAACCAGCACCGAUGAACGGUGGCAAUUAUUGUAUCGGCGAGCGCGUCAAAUAUCGUAGUUGCGGCAUCAGAGAGUGUCCACCAGAUAGUCCGGAUUUCAGAGAACAGCAGUGUGCGAAAUUUGACAACAACAAUUUCAACAUCCAGAAUCUCACUAGAGACGUCAAGUGGCACGCAAAAUAUAAUAAAAUAGAGCCAGAAGAGCUUUGUAAAUUGUAUUGUCGAGUGGAAAGCAAUCAGUAUUACAUGCUACGUGAUAAAGUAAUUGAUGGAACGCCCUGUGGUCCCGACAUUUUUGAUAUAUGUGUUAACGGCCAAUGUAAACCAGCUGGUUGUGAUCACGUUUUGAACUCGACGGCAAAGCUCGACAUCUGCGGAGUUUGUAGAGGCGAUAAUUCCACUUGUCAAAGGAUCGCAAGCUCCUACAAUUCUAGCGUAUACGGUUAUACGAGAGUAGCCAAAAUCCCUGCCGGCAGCAGUAACAUUGACAUUAGGCAACAUGGAUGGCUGGGCGCUUACAAUGACAGUAAUUAUCUUGCUAUACGAAUUGGAGAAGAUGGAGAAUACAUUCUAAAUGGCAAUUUUAUGGUAAUGCACCGUAAAGUGAUCGUCCAUCCAGGCGUCACUAUUGAAUACAGCGGACCAGAACCAGUCGUCGAACGCCUAAACAGUUCUAGAUCUAUCGCCAUCGAUUUAAUUUUGGAGGUACUGUCCGUAGGAAAAAUAGAUCCACCGCAAAUUGUGUACGAAUAUACCAUACCGAAAAGAAUUCUAGACAGCCAUACGUGGGUGCUGACCAAUUGGUCAAUCUGCAAUCGAGUGUGUCAAGGUAUGAUGUAUCGUGAGGCUGAAUGUAGAAAUAUCGAGCGCAAGAAUCUAGUGCUCAACGAUUACUGCCAAGCUGAAGAGAAACCACGAGGCGAGAGUCGAAUGUGCAACACGCAUUGCACCCUGCAGUGGCAGAUAAGCUCUGUGUCGGAGUGCUCGAGUCUUUGCGGUCCGGGGACGCGAAACAUCACCUUGCAAUGUGUUCAAAUUCUGUUAGACUCGUCGCACGCUCCACGUUCAAUAUCUGAACACGCGUGUUUACACGUUGAGAAACCAAGCGAGAUUCAGUCUUGCGUAGGCCCGUGCAACGACGUUCAUUGGAGUUACAGCGAGUGGACUGCCUGCAGCGUCUCAUGUGGCAGUGGUGUACAAACGAGAAGCGCGAUAUGUGUUGAUUCAAACGAGAGACAAGUACGAGAUGAAAACUGCGCUGGACAGGAGAAACAUUUCAACAACAUAUGCGUUAAAAAAGCUUGUCCAAAGUGGGACCUAGGAGAUUGGACUCCGUGUUCCACGACAUGUGGCGUCGGCGAACGACACAGAACUUCUUGGUGCCAAAUCGAGAAUCACGUGGUAGUAGACACUUACUGCAGAAACAUUCCGAUUGAAACGACAGAGAUCUGUGACGCUGGCCCUUGUCAUCAGUGGCAUGCCGGCGAUUGGAGUCCGUGUUCGGUGACAUGUGGUAAAGGAACAUCACGAAGGAAAGUUGUUUGCAAAAGUGUUGAUGGUGCAACUAGUAACGAGUGUUCCAUUUCCGAAAAACCGGAAAAUACCACUCUCUGUACGCUUGCCCCGUGCCCCAGUGUUCAGGUGAGUCUGCCGCCGAUUACAUACUCGUCCAAUUCCCCUCGCGGAAAUCCUUCUCAACAAGACAAUGAGAUUGACAAUAGUAUUACAUCGCACUUUGAUUACAAAUGGCACGUAGGAUCUUAUGGAGACUGCUCGAAAAAAUGUGAUGCUGGAUACAAAACCAGAUUAGUAAAAUGUGUAUCCUUGAAAACGGGAAUGAUUGAGUCCGAUCACUAUUGCGACUCCAAUAAACGGCCGAUGGCCAGCAGCACGUGCAAUCAACAUCCGUGUCCUACUUGGAGAACCAGUAAUUGGAGUGAGUGUGAUGUGGAGUGCGGUCAUGGAUACCAGUACCGUCAGAUACGUUGCCAAAAUCAUCGUGGUGAAAUUGUGUCAAACAAGGAAUGUGUUGACGAACAACCGAAAGAUGUACGAAGAUGUCAAAAAGAGUCCUGCAGAAGCAAUCCUAAGAGUAGCAAAGAAAAUAAUUUCUCUAAUAUCAUACGCAGAUGGAAAAUGUCUACCUGGACUCCCUGUUCUAAAUCGUGCGGCACUGGGAUACAGACGCGCAGAGUGGAAUGUAUGAUGAGAAGAGGCACCCAUGGGCCGGAAGUACCCGUUAAGGACGAGCAGUGCUCGAGAUUGAAAUUGCGCAAACCGAAAACGCAGAGAUUAUGCCAACGCAUUGCCUGCGGUUAUAUUUGGCAAGAAGGCAUCUGGUCGGAGUGUUCUAUGAUGUGUGGUAAAGGAAUACAACGCCGUGCAGUCACUUGCCAUCGAGUAAAUCACUAUGGCUGGAUCGAUCCAACUCCAACCGAAGGUUGUCCAAUGGAUCAGAAACCAGUUGGAGUGCAAACGUGUACACUACGAGAGUGUCACUAUCAAUAUUAUUGGACUGCUGGUCCUUGGAGGAAAUGUAGUCAUUUCUGUGGACGUAAAGGCCGACAAAUCCGCAAACUUUAUUGCCACGAUAUAACCGGCAGAAAAGUUGCUCGACGUCACUGUUCACUGAAAUUCAAGCCACAACGAAAGCGCAAAUGUAAUCAAAGAAGAUGCGGACCGAUUAGCUGUCUUGAAAUUCAGAAACGCCUCAAGUUCUCUAUGGAUGGUGAAUAUCCAUUAUUGAUCGGUGGUAGAAAUAUGUCGAUCUAUUGUCACAGAAUGGCAGGUACCGAGCCGUUAGAAUAUCUAACAUUACCAGCUGGCGAUAACGAAAACUAUGCGGAGAUCUACGAUAAAAGGUUGGUUAAACAAUCCAUAUACGUGCCCGUUUAAUGGCCAAAGAAAUGACAGUUGUGACUGUGUGUCUGAAGUGGAUAAGAGUUUCUCUGGCAAAACAAUGUUCAAAAGAGUACGCAUAGAUCCCGUAAGAUUAUACAUUAUAGCAAAUGAUUACACGUUUUCGCGCACCAAGGGAAAGAAGCGUGUGGAAUAUGGCACAGCUGGUGAUUGUUACAGUCUCACUCAUUGUCCACAAGGUCGUUUCAGUAUCGAUUUGGGAGGUACCGCCUUGAGAUUAUCAUCAGA